Molecule: ribosomal RNA, 245 nt
Filed under: uncultured bacterium
Lineage: Bacteria
Description: partial small subunit ribosomal RNA
Rfam family: Bacterial small subunit ribosomal RNA
Source: RNAcentral
AGAAUCAACGCUGGCGGCGUGCCUAACACAUGCAAGUCGCACGAGAAAGGGGAGCAAUCCCUGAGUAAAGUGGCGCACGGGUGAGUAACACGUGAAUAAUCUACCUCCGAGUGGGGAAUAACUGAGAGAAAUCUUAGCUAAUACCGCAUAACACUUGCGAGUCAAAGCAGCAAUGCGCUUGGAGAGGAGUUCGCGGCCGAUUAGUUAGUUGGCGGGGUAAUGGCCCACCAAGACGAUGAUCGGUA